This 360-nucleotide ribosomal RNA is filed under the name uncultured eukaryote. RNAcentral describes it as "eukaryotic LSU rRNA". The stretch from base 1 to 95 matches the Rfam family "5.8S ribosomal RNA", at positions 61 to 154 of the family's 154-position model. The record is from RNAcentral.
AACAUUGUGAAUUGCAGAAUUCCGUGAACCAACAGGGUUUUGAACGCAUACUGCGCUUUCGGGAUAUCCCUGAAAGCAUGCCUGCUUCAGUGUCUACUUCUUAUCAUGCCAGCGGCGCUUUCCUGGCUCUCGUCAGGUAACUGCUGUCUGCGCGUGUCUGUGCAUCCGAGCGCCUCUGGCCUUCGAUGCAUGUAGUGCAUAGGGAAGCUCUCUGGCGGGCAAACAAGUAAGCAUCUUCUCGAUGUCUUUCUUUGUCUCGCUGUGAGCGGCCUCCUUUGUCUCCAUAGGACGUCUUCUGGCGGCCUUCUCUCCAAGACAUGAAGUUAGGUCGGCAAACCCGCUGAAUUUAAGCAUAUCAAU